AUGGCCUCCCCCGGUGAGGAAAAAAUGAAGGGUUGUCGCCCUAAACUUUUCGGUGCCAAGGAGAAGAAAUCUGCAAAGAGGACCGACAGUCCAGGCUGCAAUGCAGCACAUGAGCUUGGACCAAGUCCUUCUAAGACAGUAUCAGCUUCCCCCUUGAGAACACUUUCAGGAGUUAAGAGCAUACGUCUCAGCCAUUUCCUGGCCCAACCUUCUUCUAUUAAUAGAACAACUGAGCCCGUCAGAAUUUUUGUCUCUACCUGGAACGUCGGUGGGAAAGCACCUACUGCUGAACUGAACAUGGAUGAUUUUGUUCCACCUGAUGAUCGUUCAGAUAUUUAUGUGUUGGGUUUUCAGGAAAUUGUUCCUCUCAAUGCUGGUAAUGUGCUUGUGGUAAAGCUGCUGCCUUGUGACCAUGAGGUCAUGGGUUCAAGUCCUGGAAACAGCCUCUUACAGAAAUGUAGGGAAAGGCUGCGUACUAUAGACCCAAAGUGGUCGGACCCUUCCCUGGACCCUGCGCAAGCGGGAGCUACAUGCACCAGGUUGCCCUUUUUUAAUGCUGGUAAUGUGCUUGUGAUAGAAGACAAUGAACCAGCUGCAAGGUGGCUUGUUCUUAUAAACCAAGCACUAAACCGGCCAGCUGAUAAUGAUACCAAUGUCUUUCAGCAUCCGACAUCUCCAUCUGUUGAUUCUACUUCAUCUCGAGCUUCUUCAAGCCUUGACACUUCAUUCUCUGAAUUAACAAAAACAGCAAGUGGUUCCACAAUCUUCCAGAAAUCUUCCCUCAAAGCCAUUAGAAAACCUUUCAUGCCAAUGCAGAGAAAACGGCUUAAGGCCUGCAACUGCCCAGCAGAAAUGAUCAAAUCAUCGUACAGGGAUGCUUGCUUUCGGCGCCCGAAAAAACAUGCUGGCGAGACUGAUUCCUCAGGAGAGGAAGAGAAAGAGAACACGAGGGAUUCUUGCGGCUCUGUGCUAAGUGAAGUAACUUCCGCUCCCACCGCAAGGGAUCAGCUAAAAUAUAACCUCAUAGUAUGCAAACAAAUGGUUGGAAUUUUUGUCACUGUGUGGGUAAAGAAAGAACUAGUGCAACACAUCGGCCAUCUAAGAACGUCUUGCAUAGGGCGAGGAAUUCUGGGCUGUCUUGGAAACAAGGGAUGUAUAUCAGUAAGCAUGACAGUGCACCAGACAAGCUUUUGUUUCAUCUGCAGCCAUUUGGCUUCAGGUCAGAAAGAAGGGGACGAAUUCAGAAGAAACUCUGAUGUUCUAGAGAUAAUGCGGCUCACACUGUUUUCGAGGCUUUGCAGGAAAAUUGGGCGAAGAAUUCCUGAGAAAAUUCUUGAGCAUGAUAAGGUGAUAUGGUUUGGGGAUUUGAACUACCGUAUUGCACUGAGCUAUGAAGAUACAAAAAGGCUUUUGACGGAAAAUAAUUGGGAUGCCCUUUUCGAAAAGGAUCAGCUAAAAAUUGAACGAGAUGCCGGACGAGUGUUCAGGGGAUGGAAUGAGGGGAAGAUAUAUUUUGCUCCCACAUACAAGUACUCCUCUAACUCGGAUGCAUAUGCUGGUGAGACUGCAACAUCAAACAAAAAGAGGAGAACGCCAGCAUGGUGUGAUAGAAUAUUGUGGCAAGGUGACGGCACUUCACAGUUGUCCUACUACCGUGGAGAGUCCCGAUUUUCAGAUCAUCGUCCUGUCUGUGGAACCUUCAUUGUCGAAGUUGAGGCACUAAACAGAAAGACAAAGAGGCGCUCAUCUAAUGCUGACAUGAAAAUCGGUGCUGAAGAGCUUUUACCAACGGACAAGAAUAAGGGUAAAGAAGAACCGGCACACUGGGAUUCGUCAUGUGCCUCUCCAACACCUCCAGAUCAAAGUUCCACACCAUGGUGGCGGCGAUGCUGUUACCUGAGCAACCACGAUGUUCUUGUUAAGGCAUGA
RNAcentral lists this ribosomal RNA (1929 nucleotides) under Triticum aestivum (bread wheat). Its description in RNAcentral is "partial small subunit ribosomal RNA". Lineage: Eukaryota; Viridiplantae; Streptophyta; Magnoliopsida; Poales; Poaceae. The record is from RNAcentral.